GUAGGUGGCAAGCGUUGUCCGGAAUUAUUGGGCGUAAAGCGCGCGCAGGCGGUUCUUUAAGUCUGAUGUGAAAGCCCACGGCUCAACCGUGGAGGGUCAUUGGAAACUGGAGAACUUGGGUACAGAAGAGGAAAGCGGAAUUCCACGUGUAGCGGUGAAAUGCGUAGAGAUGUGGAGGAACACCAGUGGCGAAGGCGGCUUUCUGGUCUGUAACUGACGCUGAGGCGCGAAAGCGUGGGGAGCAAACAGGGAUUAGAUACCCUGGUAGUCCACGCCGUAAACGAUGAGUGCUAAGUGUUAGGGGGGCUUCCGCCCCCCUUAGUGCUGCAGCUAACGCAUUAAGCACUCCGCUUGGGAGUACGGCCGCAAGGCUG
This 374-nucleotide ribosomal RNA is filed under the name uncultured organism. Its description in RNAcentral is "partial 16S ribosomal RNA". It matches the Rfam family "Bacterial small subunit ribosomal RNA", at positions 527 to 896 of the family's 1533-position model. The record is from RNAcentral.